RNAcentral lists this small RNA (1489 nucleotides) under Ralstonia solanacearum. Its description in RNAcentral is "bacterial LSU rRNA". The stretch from base 473 to 1489 matches the Rfam family "Bacterial large subunit ribosomal RNA", at positions 1 to 1063 of the family's 2925-position model. Lineage: Bacteria; Pseudomonadati; Pseudomonadota; Betaproteobacteria; Burkholderiales; Burkholderiaceae. The record is from RNAcentral.
CUUAUCGGUUUGUUUGAUGUUACAGCCAAGGGUCUGUAGCUCAGGUGGUUAGAGCACCGUCUUGAUAAGGCGGGGGUCGUAGGUUCGAGUCCUACCAGACCCACCAAGUUACGGGCGGCGGAGAGCGAUCUUGCCGUGAACUGGGGGAUUAGCUCAGCUGGGAGAGCACCUGCUUUGCAAGCAGGGGGUCGUCGGUUCGAUCCCGUCAUCCUCCACCAACACCUUGUGGUAGCCAAACGCAAGCAUCGAGAGAUCGGUGUUUGCGUUUGGCAUUGCCAAGACGAGUAGUAACUCGGCUGUUCUUUAACAAUAUGGAAUGUAGUAAAGGUGUCGCGGCGCGUUGAUGAGGCGCGCAAUUUAAACGCGACACUGGGUUGUGAUUGUAUCAACCAGUAUUACGAGUGAUCGAAAGACCGCUUGGAAUACGGCACAACGCGAGAACUCAGCCUAUAGCGAGACAUACUCGUUAUAGGGUCAAGCGAAUAAGUGCAUGUGGUGGAUGCCUUGGCGAUCACAGGCGAUGAAGGACGUAGUAGCUUGCGAAAAGCUGCGGGGAGCUGGCAAACGAGCUUUGAUCCGCAGAUGUCCGAAUGGGGAAACCCGGCCCGUAUGGGUCAUCCCUUGCUGAAUACAUAGGCAAGGGAGGCGAACGCAGUGAACUGAAACAUCUAAGUAGCUGCAGGAAAAGAAAUCAACCGAGAUUCCCAGAGUAGUGGCGAGCGAAAUGGGAACAGCCUUGUACUCUUUAGCAGUAUUGUUAGCGGAACGGAAUGGAAAGUCCGGCCAUAGUGGGUGAUAGCCCCGUACGCGAAAACAGUAUUGUGGAACUAGGUGUACGACAAGUAGGGCGGGACACGUGAAAUCCUGUCUGAAGAUGGGGGGACCAUCCUCCAAGGCUAAAUACUCGUGAUCGACCGAUAGUGAACCAGUACCGUGAGGGAAAGGCGAAAAGAACCCCGGGAGGGGAGUGAAAUAGAUCCUGAAACCGCAUGCAUACAAACAGUCGGAGCCUGGAAACGGGUGACGGCGUACCUUUUGUAUAAUGGGUCAGCGACUUACAUUCAGUGGCAAGCUUAACCGAUUAGGGAAGGCGUAGCGAAAGCGAGUCCGAAUAGGGCGUUCAGUCGCUGGGUGUAGACCCGAAACCAAGUGAUCUAUCCAUGGCCAGGUUGAAGGUGCGGUAACACGUACUGGAGGACCGAACCCACUAACGUUGAAAAGUUAGGGGAUGAGCUGUGGAUAGGGGUGAAAGGCUAAACAAACUUGGAAAUAGCUGGUUCUCUCCGAAAACUAUUUAGGUAGUGCCUCGUGUCUCACCUUCGGGGGUAGAGCACUGUCAUGGUUGGGGGGUCUAUUGCUGAUUACCCCGCCAUAGCAAACUCCGAAUACCGAAGAGUGCAAUCACGGGAGACAGACAUCGGGUGCUAACGUCCGGUGUCAAGAGGGAAACAACCCAGACCGCCAGCUAAGGUCCCUAAGAUUGGCUAAG